AAAAAACUUUUAAGCCCUCUGUUACCGGUUCUCCUGGUGUUUCCCGUGGAGCCAGUAGAGGGAGAGAGGGAGGAGGCGCGUCGAUGCCGGAUCUCUUCUCCUUCCCUCCUCACGCCGCAGGGGACGUAGGGUGGAUCGGCCUCCGACGUAGACUCAUCGUCGCCGUCCGGCAGGGAGGGAGCCGGUAUUGGCCUCGGAGGCGAAGACCGUACUCGUGAGGUAGACGACCCGCCACCUCUGUGAAUGUCACGGAAGCCCGAAAAAUGAGCUAUUGUGAAUUUGGAAACUGCAGUGAUAUUAGGCCUUUCAUCAUCUUCUGAUGAAGUGGAUAAGUUGAAUCUUUUAUUGUUGGAUAACCUUGCCACCUUCGAGCACGAAAGAACACAAACCUUGAAAUCUGAAAGUGCAUUGCUCAGGUUUCCUGUGGCUCCUGCUCUAAUACAAAUGGAUUUUGAGAUUUUUGUUUUGUCCAUUGUGUUCCACAGUGCAUUGAAAAGUCAUCAUGCGGCUGCAGACAAAUUCAUAGUUCAAUAAAUUGUCAUUAGUUUUGAGUCUUUGAUCCAUGACUUACAUGAAACAGGUACCUUUCUGGAGAUUUGCAUUAUUUCUGAUUAUUUUUGCUUGCCAGUCUACUUUCCCGUUGAUGAGAUCAACAACGCUAGAAACUCAUGGGGGUAUAAACCUGUAUGAAUCAUUAGAUGAUGCAACUUUUGUGAGAAAUGAUUUCUUGGGUCAUGUGCAGCAUAUGGGCCUUCAU
Elaeis guineensis (African oil palm) is the source of this 757-nucleotide non-coding RNA. NCBI's taxonomy places the organism in Eukaryota, Viridiplantae, Streptophyta, Magnoliopsida, Arecales, Arecaceae. The record is from RefSeq and is a predicted model, not a curated record.